AGUGAACGCUGGCGGUAGGCCUAACACAUGCAAGUCGAACGGCAGCACAGUAAGAGCUUGCUCUUACGGGUGGCGAGUGGCGGACGAGUGAGGAAUACAUCGGAAUCUACUUUUUCGUGGGGGAUAACGUAGGGAAACUUACGCUAAUACCGCAUACGACCUACGGGUGAAAGCAGGGGAUCUUCGGACCUUGCGCGAUUGAAUGAGCCGAUGUCGGAUUAGCUAGUUGGCGGGGUAAAGGCCCACCAAGGCGACGAUCCGUAGCUGGUCUGAGAGGAUGAUCAGCCACACUGGAACUGAGACACGGUCCAGACUCCUACGGGAGGCCGCAGUGGGGAAUAUUGGCCAAUGGGCGCAAGCCUGAUCCAGCCAUACCGCGUGGGUGAAGAAGGCCUUCGGGUUGUAAAGCCCUUUUGUUGGGAAAGAAAAGCAGCAGGUUAAUACCCCGCUGUUCUGACGGUACCCAAAGAAUAAGCACCGGCUAACUUCGUG
RNAcentral lists this ribosomal RNA (492 nucleotides) under uncultured bacterium. Its description in RNAcentral is "partial 16S ribosomal RNA". It matches the Rfam family "Bacterial small subunit ribosomal RNA", at positions 29 to 507 of the family's 1533-position model. The record is from RNAcentral.